CCUACGGGAGGCAGCAGUGGGGAAUAUUGGGCAAUGGGCGCAAGCCUGACCCAGCAACGCCGCGUGAAGGAAGAAGGCUUUCGGGUUGUAAACUUCUUUUCUCAGGGACGAAGCAAGUGACGGUACCUGAGGAAUAAGCCUCGGCUAACUACGUACCAGCAGCCGCGGUAAUACGUAGGUGGCAAGCGUUAUCCGGAUUUACUGGGUGUAAAGGGCGUGUAGGCGGGAAAGCAAGUCAGAUGUGAAAACCAUGGGCUCAACCUGUAGCUUGCAUUUGAAACUGGUUUUCUUGAGUACUGGGGAGGCAGACGGAAUUCCUAGUGUAGCGGGGAAAUGCGUAGAUAUUAGGAGGAACACCAGUGGCGAAGGCGGUCUGCUGGACAGCAACUGACGCUGAGGCGCGAAAGCGUGGGGAGCAAACAGGAUUAGAUACCCCAGUAGUC
Molecule: ribosomal RNA, 443 nt
Filed under: uncultured bacterium
Lineage: Bacteria
Description: partial 16S ribosomal RNA
Rfam family: Bacterial small subunit ribosomal RNA
Source: RNAcentral